This 2771-nucleotide ribosomal RNA is filed under the name Klebsiella pneumoniae. Its description in RNAcentral is "bacterial LSU rRNA". It matches the Rfam family "Bacterial large subunit ribosomal RNA". The record is from RNAcentral. Lineage: Bacteria; Pseudomonadati; Pseudomonadota; Gammaproteobacteria; Enterobacterales; Enterobacteriaceae.
AGCGUACACGGUGGAUGCCCUGGCAGUCAGAGGCGAUGAAGGACGUGCUAAUCUGCGAAAAGCGUCGGUAAGGUGAUAUGAACCGUUAUAGCCGGCGAUGUCCGAAUGGGGAAACCCAGUGCAAUUCGUUGCACUAUCGUUAACUGAAUACAUAGGUUAACGAGGCGAACCGGGGGAACUGAAACAUCUAAGUACCCCGAGGAAAAGAAAUCAACCGAGAUUCCCCCAGUAGCGGCGAGCGAACGGGGAGCAGCCCAGAGUCUGAAUCAGCUUGUGUGUUAGUGGAACGGUCUGGAAAGUCCGACGGUACAGGGUGAUAGUCCCGUACACCAAAAUGCACAGGCUGUGAACUCGAAGAGUAGGGCGGGACACGUGGUAUCCUGUCUGAAUAUGGGGGGACCAUCCUCCAAGGCUAAAUACUCCUGACUGACCGAUAGUGAACCAGUACCGUGAGGGAAAGGCGAAAAGAACCCCGGCGAGGGGAGUGAAAAAGAACCUGAAACCGUGUACGUACAAGCAGUGGGAGCACCUUCGGGUGUGACUGCGUACCUUUUGUAUAAUGGGUCAGCGACUUAUAUUCUGUAGCAAGGUUAACCGUAUAGGGGAGCCGCAGGGAAACCGAGUCUUAACUGGGCGUUAAGUUGCAGGGUAUAGACCCGAAACCCGGUGAUCUAGCCAUGGGCAGGUUGAAGGUUGGGUAACACUAACUGGAGGACCGAACCGACUAAUGUUGAAAAAUUAGCGGAUGACUUGUGGCUGGGGGUGAAAGGCCAAUCAAACCGGGAGAUAGCUGGUUCUCCCCGAAAGCUAUUUAGGUAGCGCCUCGUGAACUCAUCUUCGGGGGUAGAGCACUGUUUCGGCUAGGGGGUCAUCCCGACUUACCAACCCGAUGCAAACUACGAAUACCGAAGAAUGUUAUCACGGGAGACACACGGCGGGUGCUAACGUCCGUCGUGAAGAGGGAAACAACCCAGACCGCCAGCUAAGGUCCCAAAGUCAUGGUUAAGUGGGAAACGAUGUGGGAAGGCACAGACAGCCAGGAUGUUGGCUUAGAAGCAGCCAUCAUUUAAAGAAAGCGUAAUAGCUCACUGGUCGAGUCGGCCUGCGCGGAAGAUGUAACGGGGCUAAACCAUGCACCGAAGCUGCGGCAGCGACACUAUGUGUUGUUGGGUAGGGGAGCGUUCUGUAAGCCUGCGAAGGUGUGCUGUGAGGCAUGCUGGAGGUAUCAGAAGUGCGAAUGCUGACAUAAGUAACGAUAAAGCGGGUGAAAAGCCCGCUCGCCGGAAGACCAAGGGUUCCUGUCCAACGUUAAUCGGGGCAGGGUGAGUCGACCCCUAAGGCGAGGCCGAAAGGCGUAGUCGAUGGGAAACAGGUUAAUAUUCCUGUACUUGGUGUUACUGCGAAGGGGGGACGGAGAAGGCUAUGUUAGCCGGGCGACGGUUGUCCCGGUUUAAGCAUGUAGGCUGAUUGUCCAGGCAAAUCCGGAUAAUCAAGGCUGAGGUGUGAUGACGAGGCACUACGGUGCUGAAGUAACAAAUGCCCUGCUUCCAGGAAAAGCCUCUAAGCAUCAGGUAACAUUAAAUCGUACCCCAAACCGACACAGGUGGUCAGGUAGAGAAUACCAAGGCGCUUGAGAGAACUCGGGUGAAGGAACUAGGCAAAAUGGUGCCGUAACUUCGGGAGAAGGCACGCUGGUGUGUAGGUGAAGUCCCUGCGGAUGGAGCUGAGACCAGUCGAAGAUACCAGCUGGCUGCAACUGUUUAUUAAAAACACAGCACUGUGCAAACACGAAAGUGGACGUAUACGGUGUGACGCCUGCCCGGUGCCGGAAGGUUAAUUGAUGGGGUUAUCCGUAAGGAGAAGCUCUUGAUCGAAGCCCCGGUAAACGGCGGCCGUAACUAUAACGGUCCUAAGGUAGCGAAAUUCCUUGUCGGGUAAGUUCCGACCUGCACGAAUGGCGUAAUGAUGGCCAGGCUGUCUCCACCCGAGACUCAGUGAAAUUGAACUCGCUGUGAAGAUGCAGUGUACCCGCGGCAAGACGGAAAGACCCCGUGAACCUUUACUAUAGCUUGACACUGAACAUUGAGCCUUGAUGUGUAGGAUAGGUGGGAGGCUUUGAAGCGUGGACGCCAGUCUGCGUGGAGCCAACCUUGAAAUACCACCCUUUAAUGUUUGAUGUUCUAACGUUGGCCCCUUACCGGGGUUGCGGACAGUGUCUGGUGGGUAGUUUGACUGGGGCGGUCUCCUCCCAAAGCGUAACGGAGGAGCACGAAGGUUAGCUAAUCCUGGUCGGACAUCAGGAGGUUAGUGCAAUGGCAUAAGCUAGCUUGACUGCGAGCGUGACGGCGCGAGCAGGUGCGAAAGCAGGUCAUAGUGAUCCGGUGGUUCUGAAUGGAAGGGCCAUCGCUCAACGGAUAAAAGGUACUCCGGGGAUAACAGGCUGAUACCGCCCAAGAGUUCAUAUCGACGGCGGUGUUUGGCACCUCGAUGUCGGCUCAUCACAUCCUGGGGCUGAAGUAGGUCCCAAGGGUAUGGCUGUUCGCCAUUUAAAGUGGUACGCGAGCUGGGUUUAGAACGUCGUGAGACAGUUCGGUCCCUAUCUGCCGUGGGCGCUGGAGAAUUGAGGGGGGCUGCUCCUAGUACGAGAGGACCGGAGUGGACGCAUCACUGGUGUUCGGGUUGUCAUGCCAAUGGCACUGCCCGGUAGCUAAAUGCGGAAGAGAUAAGUGCUGAAAGCAUCUAAGCACGAAACUUGCCCCGAGAUGAGUUCU